Molecule: ribosomal RNA, 470 nt
Filed under: uncultured organism
Description: partial 16S ribosomal RNA
Rfam family: Bacterial small subunit ribosomal RNA
Source: RNAcentral
ACUCCUGCGGGAGGCAGCAGUGGGGAAUUUUGGACAAUGGGCGAAAGCCUGAUCCAGCAAUGCCGCGUGAGUGAAGAAGGCCUUCGGGUUGUAAAGCUCUUUUGUCAGGGAAGAAACGGUGAGAGCUAAUAUCUUUUGCUAAUGACGGUACCUGAAGAAUAAGCACCGGCUAACUACGUGCCAGCAGCCGCGGUAAUACGUAGGGUGCAAGCGUUAAUCGGAAUUACUGGGCGUAAAGCGUGCGCAGGCGGUUUUGUAAGUCUGAUGUGAAAUCCCCGGGCUCAACCUGGGAAUUGCAUUGGAGACUGCAAGGCUAGAAUCUGGCAGAGGGGGGUAGAAUUCCACGUGUAGCAGUGAAAUGCGUAGAUAUGUGGAGGAACACCGAUGGCGAAGGCAGCCCCCUGGGUCAAGAUUGACGCUCAUGCACGAAAGCGUGGGGAGCAAACAGGAUUAGAAACCCGUGUAGCCCA